GAUGAACGCUGGCGGCGUGCUUAACACAUGCAAGUCGAACGGUGAAGGCGGAGCUUGCUCUGCUGGAUCAGUGGCGAACGGGUGAGUAACACGUGAGCAAUCUGCCCCUGACUCUGGGAUAAGCGCUGGAAACGGCGUCUAAUACUGGAUACGAGCUGCGAAGGCAUCUUCAGCAGCUGGAAAGAAUUUCGGUCAGGGAUGAGCUCGCGGCCUAUCAGCUUGUUGGUGAGGUAAUGGCUCACCAAGGCGUCGACGGGUAGCCGGCCUGAGAGGGUGACCGGCCACACUGGGAAGGAGACAACGGCCCAACUCCUACGGGAGGGAAGAGUGGGGAAUAUUGCACAAUGGGCGAAAGCCUGAUGCAGCAACGCCGCGUGAGGGACGGCGGCCUUCGGGUUGUAAACCUCUUUUAGCAGGGAAGAAGCGAAAGUGACGGUACCUGCAGAAAAAGCGCCGGCUAACUACGUG
This 468-nucleotide ribosomal RNA is filed under the name uncultured bacterium. RNAcentral's name for it is "partial 16S ribosomal RNA". It matches the Rfam family "Bacterial small subunit ribosomal RNA", at positions 28 to 507 of the family's 1533-position model. The record is from RNAcentral.